CGCCCUUUUCCGGUUGAUCCUGCCGGACCUGACUGCUAUCGGAUUGAUACUAAGCCAUGCGAGUCAUUGUAGCAAUACAAGGCAGACGGCUCAGUAACGCGUAGUCAAUCUACCCUAUGGACGGGAAUAACCUCGGGAAACUGAGAAUAAUGCCCGAUAGAACAUUAUGCCUGGAAUGGUUUAUGUUUCAAAUGAUUUAUCGCCAUAGGAUGGGACUGCGGCCUAUCAGUUUGUUGGUGAGGUAAUGGCCCACCAAGACUAUUACAGGUACGGGCUCUGAGAGGAGUAGCCCGGAGAUGGGUACUGAGACACGGACCCAGGCCCUAUGGGGCGCAGCAGGCGAGAAAACUUUGCAAUGUGCGAAAGCACGACAAGGUUAAUCCGAGUGGUUUCUGCUAAAGAAACCUUUUGUCAGUCCUAGAAACACUAACGAAUAAGGGGUGGGCAAGUUCUGGUGUCAGCCGCCGCGGUAAAACCAGCACCUCAAGUGGUCAGGAUGAUUAUUGGGCCUAAAGCAUCCGUAGCUCGUUUUGUAAGUUUUCGGUUAAAUCCAUGCGCUUAACGUAUGGGCUGCCGGGAAUACUGCAUAACUAGGAAGUGGGAGAGGUAGACGGUACUCGGUAGGAAGGGGUAAAAUCCUUUGAUCUAUUGAUGACCACCUGUGGCGAAAGCGGUCUACCAGAACACGUUCGACGGUGAGGGAUGAAAGCUGGGGGAGCAAACCGGAUUAGAUACCCGGGUAGUCCCAGCUGUAAACUAUGCAAACUCGGUGAUGCACCGGCUUAAUGCGGCGCAGUGCCGCAGGGAAGCCGUUAAGUUUGCCGCUGGGAAGUACGUCGCAAGCUGAAACUUAAAGAAUUGGCGGGG
Molecule: ribosomal RNA, 867 nt
Filed under: uncultured archaeon
Lineage: Archaea
Description: bacterial SSU rRNA
Rfam family: Archaeal small subunit ribosomal RNA
Source: RNAcentral